Molecule: ribosomal RNA, 253 nt
Filed under: uncultured bacterium
Lineage: Bacteria
Description: partial 16S ribosomal RNA
Rfam family: Bacterial small subunit ribosomal RNA
Source: RNAcentral
UACGGGGGGUGCGAGCGUUGUCCGGAAUCACUGGGCGUAAAGAGCGCGUAGGCGGUCCGGUAAGUCGGUUGUGAAAGUCGGGGGCUCAACCCUCGGAUGCCGAUCGAUACUGUCGGGCUAGAGUCCGGAAGAGGCGAGUGGAAUUCCUGGUGUAGCGGUGAAAUGCGCAGAUAUCAGGAGGAACACCAAUGGCGAAGGCAGCUCGCUGGGACGGUACUGACGCUGAGGCGCGAAAGCGUGGGGAGCGAACAGG